CAACAGGGAUUGCCCCAGUAACGGCGAGUGAAGCGGNAAAAGCUCAAAUUUGAAAUCUGGCGUCUCUGGCGUCCGAGUUGUAAUUUGGAGAGGAAUCUUCGGGGUCAGCACCAGACUAUGUUCCUUGGAACAGGACGUCACAGAGGGUGAGAAUCCCGUGCAUGCCUGGCUGCCUGGCCCCUUGUGAAGGGCCUUCUACGAGUCGAGUUGUUUGGGAAUGCAGCUCUAAGUGGGUGGUAAAUUUCAUCUAAAGCUAAAUAUUGGCGAGAGACCGAUAGCGCACAAGUAGAGUGAUCGAAAGAUGAAAAGCACUUUGAAAAUAGAGUUAAAAAGUACGUGAAAUUGUUGAAAGGGAAGCGCUUGAGACCAGACACGGCUCCUGGCAAACAGCCUGCCCAGGCCAUGGGCGGUGCACUUGCCUGGGCUGGGCCAGCAUCGGUUGGAGUGGGACAAAGGCAUGGGGAAUGUGGCUCCUCUUGGGGAGUGUUAUAGCCCUUUGUGCAAUGCCGCCAACCCCGACUGAGGGCCGCGCCUCGGCGAGGAUGCUGGCAUAAU
Molecule: ribosomal RNA, 555 nt
Filed under: Balsamia oregonensis
Lineage: Eukaryota; Fungi; Ascomycota; Pezizomycetes; Pezizales; Helvellaceae
Description: eukaryotic LSU rRNA
Rfam family: Eukaryotic large subunit ribosomal RNA
Source: RNAcentral